RNAcentral lists this ribosomal RNA (380 nucleotides) under uncultured eukaryote. RNAcentral's name for it is "partial 18S ribosomal RNA". It matches the Rfam family "Eukaryotic small subunit ribosomal RNA", at positions 592 to 976 of the family's 1831-position model. The record is from RNAcentral.
CAAUAGCGUAUAUUAAAGUUGUUGCGGUUAAAAAGCUCGUAGUUGGAUUUCUGCUGAGAACGACCGGUCCGCCCUUUGGGUGUGUAUCUGGCUCUUUCUUGGCAUCUUCUUGGUGAACGUUGCUGCACUUGACUGUGUGGAGCGCUACCCAGGACUUUUACUUUGAGGAAAUUAGAGUGUUUCAAGCAGGCAUACGCCUUGAAUACAUUAGCAUGGAAUAAUAAGAUAGGACCUCGGUUCUAUUUUGUUGGUUUCUAGAGCUGAGGUAAUGAUUAAUAGGGAUAGUUGGGGGCAUUCGUAUUUAACUGUCAGAGGUGAAAUUCUUGGAUUUGUUAAAGACGGACUACUGCGAAANGANNNGCCAAGGAUGUUUUCAUNGG